AUGGGUUUCUUGGUUGUGUUUCUGAUGGUUUCCGGAAGGCCCUCGAGUCUCAGCAGGAAGCAGCAGCUUCAAUGUUUUGUGCAACAUGAGACAGUGUGGAGGACAGGACUUUGUUCUGAGGGGCCCUGGGAAACAAACACACCCUGCAGGCAGCAGUCCCAGCCAUCCCAGGAGUCUCAGAGUCGCCACAAGGAUCAAGCAACGUCCUCUACUGAGAAGAUACCGUUCUGUGGCUAACCAAGUUUCCUCAAGGCUUCGAGACUCCAUCCAUUACUGUCUUCUCUCCAGGGAGGAAGCCCGUGGCUGAGGGUGGGGAUGCUGAGAACCGGGAAGAAGUAAACAAAGAUGAGAGUGUGAGGAAAGGAGAGAAGAAUAUGCCAAGGAAGGCUGGUAGACAUUUGUUUGAUGUGUUCUCCUCAAUUGCUUACCAUUUUAUUUUUGAGGUAAGGUCUCUCAGUGAACCUGGAGCUCACUGAAUUGGCUACUCUGGAUGUCUAGAAAGCCCCCGAGGACCCUUCUGUCUCUGCCUCUCUGCAUUUGGAAUGCGCAUAUUUAUUUAUUUAUUUAUUUAUUUAUUUAUUUAUUUAUUUAUUUAUUUAUUUNNNNNNNNNNUACACAGGUUCUGGGAUAUCAAACUUGGAUCCCCAUAUUUGCAUGGCAAACCCUUUGCCAAAAUAAGCCACUUUCCCAGUAGCACUGGGUAGUUCAGUGUCAACUUGAGGCAAGCUAGAGUCAUCUCCAAAGAGGGAACCUCAGUUAAGAAAAUGCCUCCCUAAGAUCAGACUGUAGACAGGCCUGUAGGGACAUUUUCUUAAUUAGCAAUUGAUAUGGAAGGACCAAGUCAAUGUGGGUAGAACAUUCCUGGACUGACAGUAUUGGGUUCUAUAAGGAAGCAGGCUGAGCAAGCCAUGAGGAACAAGCCAAUGAGCAGCACUCCUCUAUGGCCUCUGUCUCAGAUCCUGCCUCCAGGUUCCUGCCUGUUUGAGUUACUGCUCUGAUUGCCUUCAAUGAUGAACAGUGAUAGGGAUAAGUAAGCAAAAGUAUCCCCUUCCUCCUCAAGUGUCUUAGUUAGGGUUUUACUGCUGUGAACAGACACUAUGACCAAAGCAACUCUUAUAAGGACAACAUUUAAUUGGGCUGGCUAACAGGUUCAAAGGUUCAGUCUAUUAUCAUCAAGGAGGAAUCAUCUAGGCAGGCAUGAUGCAAGCAGAGCUGAGAGUUCUACAUCUUCACCUGUAGGCUGCUAGAAAAAUACUGGCUUCCAGGAAGCUAGGAUGAAGGUAACAUCUACUCUAAUAAGGCCACAUCUACUCUAACAAGUGCCACUUCCUGGGCCGAGUAUAUACCAUCACACCAAGUAUCACACCAACAAUAACUCUAAAAUAUCAGUUCUCAUGGAUAAUUAUUUUACUGUUCAAAAACCCUCUCUCCACUGAAGCAUCCAGCACAGGUACUACAUGGGUCUGUACCAGGUCCUCUCUGUAUAGCUUUCAGGGUUUUUUAUGGGACUCCUGAAUAUAUGAAUGAAUGGGCCUCUAAUUCUUAUGCUUUCUCUUAGGGCUCUUUUUCUUUAAUUGAUUUACCUUGUCCAACUUCAGUGUGAUAGUCCUUGUUUAUCUUAUUAGGCUUUAUUUUCUUAUAUUUUGUUGUUAUCUAUUAGAAGCUUGUUCUCUUCUAAUGAGAGAUGAAAAGAGAGGAUUUGAAUGGGGGAGAAGCUGGGGAGGAACCAGGAGGAGUAGAGGGAGAGGAAACUGUAAUCAAGAUAUAGUGUAUGAGAAAAGAAUUCAUUUUUAAUAAAAGGGGACAAUUAAAAUAAAGAGAGAAAGGA
Molecule: long non-coding RNA, 1828 nt
Filed under: Mus spicilegus (steppe mouse)
Lineage: Eukaryota; Metazoa; Chordata; Mammalia; Rodentia; Muridae
Description: lncRNA (ENSMSIG00000018886.1)
Source: RNAcentral